This 607-nucleotide long non-coding RNA is filed under the name Coturnix japonica (Japanese quail). RNAcentral describes it as "lncRNA (ENSCJPG00005015548.1)". The record is from RNAcentral. Lineage: Eukaryota; Metazoa; Chordata; Aves; Galliformes; Phasianidae.
CAAAGAUGGAACAAUGUGGUUUCUAUGGGAAGGUAUAACUAAAUGAGCUUUAAUGCCAUUUUUGUUUGUUUGUUUAUUUGUUUAUUAACUUGUUCAUUAUUUCCAGUUGUAGAUACUCCUGGGUGUCUGAUCAAUCAUCUCCCCAGACGUGCAAAUGUUACCCCUACCAGGUUUUUGUUAGAGAAAACAUUUUUACUCUGCUGUAGAAGUAAUAAUUACCUGAUCUUAAGUGCAGAAAACAAAGAAAAAGAUGUUGUUUCUGGUUGUUCAUCAAGAAAAUUAAAUGCUGAGGAACGGGAUGUGGGAGAGAAGAGAUGCACAUUGCUACCCAAGAGCAACAGGUACAAUGACAAGUCCAUCAUUAUCAAUAUCUGGAAGUGAUACUGCUGCAUUUAGUACAUGGGGAAAUCACCUACGCUGUCCCUUCUUUCAACUUAAUAUCAUUUUUCACCAUAAUGGUACUGGAUAGUUUUACUUUCUUCAAUCAAUAUGUGCACACAAAUGGUACUGAACUGCCAGUGUAGAUAAUUAUGGUAAAUCUUUUCUCCAGAUAAUUCAAAGGUUAUGGGCAUUCCCUUCCCCUUAUCAUUAAAACUGAAAACAGAUC